This 468-nucleotide ribosomal RNA is filed under the name uncultured bacterium. RNAcentral describes it as "partial 16S ribosomal RNA". It matches the Rfam family "Bacterial small subunit ribosomal RNA", at positions 28 to 507 of the family's 1533-position model. The record is from RNAcentral.
GACGAACGCUGGCGGCGUGCUUAACACAUGCAAGUCGAACGGUGAUGCUCCAGCUUGCUGGAGUGGAUCAGUGGCGAACGGGUGAGUAACACGUGAGCAACCUGCCCCAGACUCUGGAAUAAGCGCUGGAAACGGCGUCUAAUACUGGAUACGAAACUGGCCCGCAUGGGCAUGGUUUGGAAAGUUUUUCGGUUUGGGAUGGGCUCGCGGCCUAUCAGCUUGUUGGUGAGGUAAUGGCUCACCAAGGCGACGACGGGUAGCCGGCCUGAGAGGGCGACCGGCCACACUGGGACUGAGAAACGGCCCAGACUCCGACGGGAGGCAGCAGUGGGGAAUAUUGCACAAUGGGCGAAAGCCUGAUGCAGCGACGCCGCGUGAGGGAUGACGGCCUGCGGGUUGUAAACCUCUUUCAGCAGGGAAGAAGCGAAAGUGACGGUACCUGCAGAAGAAGCACCGGCUAACUACGUG